This is a long non-coding RNA of Mya arenaria, 1980 nucleotides long. RefSeq lists it as uncharacterized. NCBI's taxonomy places the organism in Eukaryota, Metazoa, Mollusca, Bivalvia, Myida, Myidae. The record is from RefSeq and is a predicted model, not a curated record. The transcript is spliced from 4 exons.
CGAAUUUCUGAAAAUUCAUUCAUUUAUCUACACAGUGAUACUAUCCAUUUGAUUCAGUAAUCUGUCGCAUUUUUCCGCAAGGGCUAUUUAUAAACACAUCGUUUCUGAGAGUGGCCAAAAACAAGAACAAUUUGAUGACUCAUAAGGCAUGCAACCUUAAAAGCCGAGAGUAUCCGAAUUAACCAGGAAGUAAUUUUUGUUUACUUUUUAAAUGCCAACCUCUGUAAAUAGUAAUUUACUUGGAGUAAACAUUGAGUGAGAAAUAAAGCCAUAGAAUACAUUCAUACCAUUCAAAUUCAGCCAGUCAGAAUGAUGGGAAGGAUUGCAGAACUGAGUUUCACUCUCACCUGACUGAUGCAGAUUCAGUACCCUAAUUGCUCAUGAUGGUUUCUGAGAAAAAAAAAGCUUGGUGUAAUUUGACAGUAUUUUUCAGUAUUUGACAGUGGUUCUAUCAUGCAACAGUCAUACCAUGAAGUGUCUCGUACAGCAUGAACAUUUCCUUCAUUUUUUGAGUGAUUAUAGAGUGAAAAUGUUUCCAUAUAAAAUGUUUUCUUUUUAUGUGUAAAACUUGUCAUGAAUGGUUACAAAUACAUGCAUGUUCAUUAUGAUUCCAAAUCUAUGCACAUUUUGAUUCCAAUAAUUAAAGUAUUUUAAAUUUGGUUUGAAACAGAAAUAUUGUCCUUAUGUUUGUUUCUAAACAUUAUCUGGUAUUAUUCGUGUUUAUAGUUUCCAUGUCAAUUUAAAAAAAAGUCGGUUCUUUUAAAGAUGCACUUUUACUCCCACAUAAGAUUUACCACAAUUAAUACUUUUGUUUUAUUAUUCCAAAAAGGAUGAAUAAAUGUUGGAAACAAUGGUUCUAAUGAAGGAUGCCUACUUCUACUUGAAGGAAAUGUGCAUAAAAGACAGUAUUUCUACCAUUUGAGAUCAUAGUAGAUCACAGUAAAUCUUUAUGCAUUCACCAAUCAUUUAAUAUCUUUGCUUUUUCAGCUUAAAUACACGGUUACAAUAUUUUUAUCAAUACUUAAUAUUUUCAAAAAAUGAAUUAUUAAGUAAGUUGUUAAAGGGUUAACAGUCAAAGUAUAUGUUUGUUAUGCAUGUGUAUGCAUUGAUACUGAAUAAGAGUGUCACUUUAAACAGUUGCCAUGGUAACUAUAGAGUCUAGUUUUCUUAAGAAACUGUAAUUGUUGUCUAAAAACCUUUGUAUUUUCAAUGUGAUACUUUUUAGCAUGUCCGCUUCAGUCAAUGAAAUAUUUGUUAAUCAUUUGGUCAUACUUUGUAUACAAUUAUAUUUAUAAUUUAACCUUGAAAAUUGCUGACAAUCUCAUACUUAUAUUGAAAUAUUCAGAAUUGCUAGAUGGGUUGAAGUUUACCUUUAUUACAACUGUCAGGCAAAUUAUGGCAAGAUGUACAUAAUUCUCCUUUUUAACAAAAAUCGAUGUUUAAAGCAUUUUUUGUAUUUUUAUUGAAUGAUUACCAUGGCAACUAAUUUUUUGUUUGCCUUUAAUCUUCCUAUUUAUAAUACUAUUAAUUGUAAAAAUGCAACAGUCAAGCAAUGAAUGGAAGAAUGUAAAUGUUCUUUGUCUUUUACCUUUUUCAAGCUCAUUCUUCAAAAUAUAAAGCAAUUUUAAAAUUUCUUAAAAAUGGACGUUUUUUCAUCAUUUUUUUAAAGUAAAAUAAUUUGCUUAAAACUUUGUUUAGGUUCUGAUAUUUAGGAAUGUGUAUUAAAUUUAUAGAAAAUAAACAAAAUGUGUUGUUUGACAUUAUUUAUUUCAUUUAAAUUCCGAAGUUUUGAAUUUGACCUAUUUUGGCAGAAAAAUUGAUAAAAAUGUUAAAUUAAAAGGGCCAUAAUUCUGUCAAAAAUUGAUGGAUUUUGAAAAAAUGUGCAUAUUUGAGUUUGUAAUGACGUAACCUUUAAAAUGAUAUAUCACUUUAAUAUACCGCAUUACAUUAAUUUUUUACGCUGAUAUUGCUACCUGAGCU